Molecule: ribosomal RNA, 433 nt
Filed under: uncultured bacterium
Lineage: Bacteria
Description: partial 16S ribosomal RNA
Rfam family: Bacterial small subunit ribosomal RNA
Source: RNAcentral
GGGGGGGGGGGGGGGGGGGGGGGGGGGGGGCGGGGCGAGCGGGGGCGGCGGGGGUGGGGGCGCACGGGUGCGUAACGCGUGGGAACCUGCCCUUAGGUUCGGAAUAACUCCCCGAAAGGGGUGCUAAUACCGGAUAAUGUCUUCGGACCAAAGAUUUAUCGCCUUUGGAUGGGCCCGCGUUGGAUUAGCUAGUUGGUAGGGUAAAAGCCUACCAAGGCGACGAUCCAUAGCUGGUCUGAGAGGAUGAUCAGCCACACUGGGACUGAGACACGGCCCAGACUCCUACGGGAGGCAGCAGUGGGGAAUAUUGGACAAUGGGCGAAAGCCUGAUCCAGCAAUGCCGCGUGAGUGAUGAAGGCCUUAGGGUUGUAAAGCUCUUUUACCCGGGAUGAUAAUGACAGUACCGGGAGAAUAAGCUCCGGCUAACUCCGUG